Molecule: transfer RNA, 70 nt
Filed under: Cavia porcellus (domestic guinea pig)
Lineage: Eukaryota; Metazoa; Chordata; Mammalia; Rodentia; Caviidae
Rfam family: tRNA
About the family: Transfer RNA (tRNA) molecules are approximately 80 nucleotides in length. Their secondary structure includes four short double-helical elements and three loops (D, anti-codon, and T loops).
Source: Rfam by way of RNAcentral
GGGGAUUUAGCACAGUGGCACAGCACUCGCCUGGAAUGCGAGGUCCUGAGUUCAAUUCUCGGUAACCUCC